Molecule: ribosomal RNA, 465 nt
Filed under: uncultured bacterium
Lineage: Bacteria
Description: partial 16S ribosomal RNA
Rfam family: Bacterial small subunit ribosomal RNA
Source: RNAcentral
CCUACGGGAGGCAGCAGUAGGGAAUUUUCGUCAAUGGGCGCAAGCCUGAACGAGCAAUGCCGCGUGAACGAGGAAGGUCUUCGGAUCGUAAAGUUCUGUUGAAGGGGAAAAAGAGCGGAGAGAGGAAAUGCUUUCUGAUUGAUAUUACCCUUCGAGGAAGUCACGGCUAACUACGUGCCAGCAGCCGCGGUAAUACGUAGGUGGCGAGCGUUAUCCGGAAUGAUUGGGCGUAAAGGGUGCGUAGGCGGCCUGCUAAGUCUGGAGUGAAAGGUACCGGCUCAACCGGUACAGGCUCUGGAAACUGGCGGGCUAGAGGUCAGGAGAGGGCGGUGGAACUCCAUGGGUAGCGGUAAAAUGCGUAGAUAUAUGGAAGAACAUCAGUGGCGAAGGCGGCCGGCUGGCCUGUUAACUGACGCUGAGGCACGAAAGCGUGGGGAGCAAAUAGGAUUAGAUACCCCUGUAGUC